RNAcentral lists this long non-coding RNA (22142 nucleotides) under Xyrichtys novacula (pearly razorfish). Lineage: Eukaryota; Metazoa; Chordata; Actinopteri; Labriformes; Labridae. The record is from RNAcentral.
GGCUUCGAAGACACACUAUGCCCACAGAACUAUUCCAACCCAUGGUCAAUGAAAAGCCCAGCCCUACCUGCAGAACAAAGCUUUGCAGUUUGUACCCAACAGUCAUUGCCAGGGACCCAGAACUGAUAAUCAGGACUUUUAGGCUGAGUGAAUAAAAAAUUGAUGGUUGAAAAUUUAAGAAAGAGUUAUCUUCUUUGUGUUUUGACAUUUUGGAGGAGUUGACAGAUAAAGACAAGGCUUGGGGGUAUUUCCAAUGACAAGGAGGUGCUUGGAGCUGGAGUUGAACCAGCGACCUUAGGAUCACGGCGUUUCACACAAGGAGCAUCUUACAGUCCACCGCUCUACCAACUGAGCUAUCAAGGUGCUCUCUAGUCACAAGUGCAGAAAACAUAGUGGCUUCGAAGACACACUAUGCCCACAGAACUAUUCCAACCCAUGGUCAAUGAAAAGCCCAGCCCUACCUGCAGAACAAAGCUUUGCAGUUUGUACCCAACAGUCAUUGCCAGGGACCCAGAACUGAUAAUCAGGACUUUUAGGCUGAGUGAAUAAAAAAUUGAUGGUUGAAAAUUUAAGAAAGAGUUAUCUUGUUUGUGUUUUGACAUUUUGGAGGAGUUGACAGAUAAAGACAAGGCUUGGGGGUAUUUCCAAUGACAAGGAGGUGCUUGGAGCUGGAGUUGAACCAGCGACCUUAGGAUCACAGCGUUUCACACAAGGAGCAUCUUACAGUCCACCGCUCUACCAACUGAGCUAUCAAGGUGCUCUCUAGUCACAAGUGCAGAAAACAUAGUGGCUUCGAAGACACACUAUGCCCACAGAACUAUUCCAACCCAUGGUCAAUGAAAAGCCCAGCCCUACCUGCAGAACAAAGCUUUGCAGUUUGUACCCAACAGUCAUUGCCAGGGACCCAGAACUGAUAAUCAGGACUUUUAGGCUGAGUGAAUAAAAAAUUGAUGGUUGAAAAUUUAAGAAAGAGUUAUCUUGUUUGUGUUUUGACAUUUUGGAGGAGUUGACAGAUAAAGACAAGGCUUGGGGGUAUUUCCAAUGACAAGGAGGUGCUUGGAGCUGGAGUUGAACCAGCGACCUUAGGAUCACGGCGUUUCACACAAGGAGCAUCUUACAGUCCACCGCUCUACCAACUGAGCUAUCAAGGUGCUCUCUAGUCACAAGUGCAGAAAACAUAGUGGCUUCGAAGACACACUAUGCCCACAGAACUAUUCCAACCCAUGGUCAAUGAAAAGCCCAGCCCUACCUGCAGAACAAAGCUUUGCAGUUUGUACCCAACAGUCAUUGCCAGGGACCCAGAACUGAUAAUCAGGACUUUUAGGCUGAGUGAAUAAAAAAUUGAUGGUUGAAAAUUUAAGAAAGAGUUAUCUUGUUUGUGUUUUGACAUUUUGGAGGAGUUGACAGAUAAAGACAAGGCUUGGGGGUAUUUCCAAUGACAAGGAGGUGCUUGGAGCUGGAGUUGAACCAGCGACCUUAGGAUCACGGCGUUUCACACAAGGAGCAUCUUACAGUCCACCGCUCUACCAACUGAGCUAUCAAGGUGCUCUCUAGUCACAAGUGCAGAAAACAUAGUGGCUUCGAAGACACACUAUGCCCACAGAACUAUUCCAACCCAUGGUCAAUGAAAAGCCCAGCCCUACCUGCAGAACAAAGCUUUGCAGUUUGUACCCAACAGUCAUUGCCAGGGACCCAGAACUGAUAAUCAGGACUUUUAGGCUGAGUGAAUAAAAAAUUGAUGGUUGAAAAUUUAAGAAAGAGUUAUCUUGUUUGUGUUUUGACAUUUUGGAGGAGUUGACAGAUAAAGACAAGGCUUGGGGGUAUUUCCAAUGACAAGGAGGUGCUUGGAGCUGGAGUUGAACCAGCGACCUUAGGAUCACGGCGUUUCACACAAGGAGCAUCUUACAGUCCACCGCUCUACCAACUGAGCUAUCAAGGUGCUCUCUAGUCACAAGUGCAGAAAACAUAGUGGCUUCGAAGACACACUAUGCCCACAGAACUAUUCCAACCCAUGGUCAAUGAAAAGCCCAGCCCUACCUGCAGAACAAAGCUUUGCAGUUUGUACCCAACAGUCAUUGCCAGGGACCCAGAACUGAUAAUCAGGACUUUUAGGCUGAGUGAAUAAAAAAUUGAUGGUUGAAAAUUUAAGAAAGAGUUAUCUUCUUUGUGUUUUGACAUUUUGGAGGAGUUGACAGAUAAAGACAAGGCUUGGGGGUAUUUCCAAUGACAAGGAGGUGCUUGGAGCUGGAGUUGAACCAGCGACCUUAGGAUCACAGCGUUUCACACAAGGAGCAUCUUACAGUCCACCGCUCUACCAACUGAGCUAUCAAGGUGCUCUCUAGUCACAAGUGCAGAAAACAUAGUGGCUUCGAAGACACACUAUGCCCACAGAACUAUUCCAACCCAUGGUCAAUGAAAAGCCCAGCCCUACCUGCAGAACAAAGCUUUGCAGUUUGUACCCAACAGUCAUUGCCAGGGACCCAGAACUGAUAAUCAGGACUUUUAGGCUGAGUGAAUAAAAAAUUGAUGGUUGAAAAUUUAAGAAAGAGUUAUCUUCUUUGUGUUUUGACAUUUUGGAGGAGUUGACAGAUAAAGACAAGGCUUGGGGGUAUUUCCAAUGACAAGGAGGUGCUUGGAGCUGGAGUUGAACCAGCGACCUUAGGAUCACGGCGUUUCACACAAGGAGCAUCUUACAGUCCACCGCUCUACCAACUGAGCUAUCAAGGUGCUCUCUAGUCACAAGUGCAGAAAACAUAGUGGCUUCGAAGACACACUAUGCCCACAGAACUAUUCCAACCCAUGGUCAAUGAAAAGCCCAGCCCUACCUGCAGAACAAAGCUUUGCAGUUUGUACCCAACAGUCAUUGCCAGGGACCCAGAACUGAUAAUCAGGACUUUUAGGCUGGGUGAAUAAAAAAUUGAUGGUUGAAAAUUUAAGAAAGAGUUAUCUUCUUUGUGUUUUGACAUUUUGGAGGAGUUGACAGAUAAAGACAAGGCUUGGGGGUAUUUCCAAUGACAAGGAGGUGCUUGGAGCUGGAGUUGAACCAGCGACCUUAGGAUCACAGCGUUUCACACAAGGAGCAUCUUACAGGCCACCGCUCUACCAACUGAGCUAUCAAGGUGCUCUCUAGUCACAAGUGCAGAAAACAUAGUGGCUUCGAAGACACACUAUGCCCACAGAACUAUUCCAACCCAUGGUCAAUGAAAAGCCCAGCCCUACCUGCAGAACAAAGCUUUGCAGUUUGUACCCAACAGUCAUUGCCAGGGACCCAGAACUGAUAAUCAGGACUUUUAGGCUGGGUGAAUAAAAAAUUGAUGGUUGAAAAUUUAAGAAAGAGUUAUCUUCUUUGUGUUUUGACAUUUUGGAGGAGUUGACAGAUAAAGACAAGGCUUGGGGGUAUUUCCAAUGACAAGGAGGUGCUUGGAGCUGGAGUUGAACCAGCGACCUUAGGAUCACAGCGUUUCACACAAGGAGCAUCUUACAGUCCACCGCUCUACCAACUGAGCUAUCAAGGUGCUCUCUAGUCACAAGUGCAGAAAACAUAGUGGCUUCGAAGACACACUAUGCCCACAGAACUAUUCCAACCCAUGGUCAAUGAAAAGCCCAGCCCUACCUGCAGAACAAAGCUUUGCAGUUUGUACCCAACAGUCAUUGCCAGGGACCCAGAACUGAUAAUCAGGACUUUUAGGCUGAGUGAAUAAAAAAUUGAUGGUUGAAAAUUUAAGAAAGAGUUAUCUUCUUUGUGUUUUGACAUUUUGGAGGAGUUGACAGAUAAAGACAAGGCUUGGGGGUAUUUCCAAUGACAAGGAGGUGCUUGGAGCUGGAGUUGAACCAGCGACCUUAGGAUCACAGCGUUUCACACAAGGAGCAUCUUACAGUCCACCGCUCUACCAACUGAGCUAUCAAGGUGCUCUCUAGUCACAAGUGCAGAAAACAUAGUGGCUUCGAAGACACACUAUGCCCACAGAACUAUUCCAACCCAUGGUCAAUGAAAAGCCCAGCCCUACCUGCAGAACAAAGCUUUGCAGUUUGUACCCAACAGUCAUUGCCAGGGACCCAGAACUGAUAAUCAGGACUUUUAGGCUGAGUGAAUAAAAAAUUGAUGGUUGAAAAUUUAAGAAAGAGUUAUCUUCUUUGUGUUUUGACAUUUUGGAGGAGUUGACAGAUAAAGACAAGGCUUGGGGGUAUUUCCAAUGACAAGGAGGUGCUUGGAGCUGGAGUUGAACCAGCGACCUUAGGAUCACAGCGUUUCACACAAGGAGCAUCUUACAGUCCACCGCUCUACCAACUGAGCUAUCAAGGUGCUCUCUAGUCACAAGUGCAGAAAACAUAGUGGCUUCGAAGACACACUAUGCCCACAGAACUAUUCCAACCCAUGGUCAAUGAAAAGCCCAGCCCUACCUGCAGAACAAAGCUUUGCAGUUUGUACCCAACAGUCAUUGCCAGGGACCCAGAACUGAUAAUCAGGACUUUUAGGCUGAGUGAAUAAAAAAUUGAUGGUUGAAAAUUUAAGAAAGAGUUAUCUUCUUUGUGUUUUGACAUUUUGGAGGAGUUGACAGAUAAAGACAAGGCUUGGGGGUAUUUCCAAUGACAAGGAGGUGCUUGGAGCUGGAGUUGAACCAGCGACCUUAGGAUCACAGCGUUUCACACAAGGAGCAUCUUACAGUCCACCGCUCUACCAACUGAGCUAUCAAGGUGCUCUCUAGUCACAAGUGCAGAAAACAUAGUGGCUUCGAAGACACACUAUGCCCACAGAACUAUUCCAACCCAUGGUCAAUGAAAAGCCCAGCCCUACCUGCAGAACAAAGCUUUGCAGUUUGUACCCAACAGUCAUUGCCAGGGACCCAGAACUGAUAAUCAGGACUUUUAGGCUGGGUGAAUAAAAAAUUGAUGGUUGAAAAUUUAAGAAAGAGUUGUCUUCUUUGUGUUUUGACAUUUUGGAGGAGUUGACAGAUAAAGACAAGGCUUGGGGGUAUUUCCAAUGACAAGGAGGUGCUUGGAGCUGGAGUUGAACCAGCGAGCUUAGGAUCACGGCGUUUCACACAAGGAGCAUCUUACAGUCCACCGCUCUACCAACUGAGCUAUCAAGGUGCUCUCUAGUCACAAGUGCAGAAAACAUAGUGGCUUCGAAGACACACUAUGCCCACAGAACUAUUCCAACCCAUGGUCAAUGAAAAGCCCAGCCCUACCUGCAGAACAAAGCUUUGCAGUUUGUACCCAACAGUCAUUGCCAGGGACCCAGAACUGAUAAUCAGGACUUUUAGGCUGGGUGAAUAAAAAAUUGAUGGUUGAAAAUUUAAGAAAGAGUUAUCUUCUUUGUGUUUUGACAUUUUGGAGGAGUUGACAGAUAAAGACAAGGCUUGGGGGUAUUUCCAAUGACAAGGAGGUGCUUGGAGCUGGAGUUGAACCAGCGAGCUUAGGAUCACGGCGUUUCACACAAGGAGCAUCUUACAGUCCACCGCUCUACCAACUGAGCUAUCAAGGUGCUCUCUAGUCACAAGUGCAGAAAACAUAGUGGCUUCAAAGACACACUAUGCCCACAGAACUAUUCCAACCCAUGGUCAAUGAAAAGCCCAGCCCUACCUGCAGAACAAAGCUUUGCAGUUUGUACCCAACAGUCAUUGCCAGGGACCCAGAACUGAUAAUCAGGACUUUUAGGCUGGGUGAAUAAAAAAUUGAUGGUUGAAAAUUUAAGAAAGAGUUAUCUUCUUUGUGUUUUGACAUUUUGGAGGAGUUGACAGAUAAAGACAAGGCUUGGGGGUAUUUCCAAUGACAAGGAGGUGCUUGGAGCUGGAGUUGAACCAGCGACCUUAGGAUCACAGCGUUUCACACAAGGAGCAUCUUACAGUCCACCGCUCUACCAACUGAGCUAUCAAGGUGCUCUCUAGUCACAAGUGCAGAAAACAUAGUGGCUUCGAAGACACACUAUGCCCACAGAACUAUUCCAACCCAUGGUCAAUGAAAAGCCCAGCCCUACCUGCAGAACAAAGCUUUGCAGUUUGUACCCAACAGUCAUUGCCAGGGACCCAGAACUGAUAAUCAGGACUUUUAGGCUGAGUGAAUAAAAAAUUGAUGGUUGAAAAUUUAAGAAAGAGUUAUCUUCUUUGUGUUUUGACAUUUUGGAGGAGUUGACAGAUAAAGACAAGGCUUGGGGGUAUUUCCAAUGACAAGGAGGUGCUUGGAGCUGGAGUUGAACCAGCGACCUUAGGAUCACAGCGUUUCACACAAGGAGCAUCUUACAGUCCACCGCUCUACCAACUGAGCUAUCAAGGUGCUCUCUAGUCACAAGUGCAGAAAACAUAGUGGCUUCGAAGACACACUAUGCCCACAGAACUAUUCCAACCCAUGGUCAAUGAAAAGCCCAGCCCUACCUGCAGAACAAAGCUUUGCAGUUUGUACCCAACAGUCAUUGCCAGGGACCCAGAACUGAUAAUCAGGACUUUUAGGCUGAGUGAAUAAAAAAUUGAUGGUUGAAAAUUUAAGAAAGAGUUAUCUUCUUUGUGUUUUGACAUUUUGGAGGAGUUGACAGAUAAAGACAAGGCUUGGGGGUAUUUCCAAUGACAAGGAGGUGCUUGGAGCUGGAGUUGAACCAGCGACCUUAGGAUCACGGCGUUUCACACAAGGAGCAUCUUACAGUCCACCGCUCUACCAACUGAGCUAUCAAGGUGCUCUCUAGUCACAAGUGCAGAAAACAUAGUGGCUUCGAAGACACACUAUGCCCACAGAACUAUUCCAACCCAUGGUCAAUGAAAAGCCCAGCCCUACCUGCAGAACAAAGCUUUGCAGUUUGUACCCAACAGUCAUUGCCAGGGACCCAGAACUGAUAAUCAGGACUUUUAGGCUGGGUGAAUAAAAAAUUGAUGGUUGAAAAUUUAAGAAAGAGUUAUCUUCUUUGUGUUUUGACAUUUUGGAGGAGUUGACAGAUAAAGACAAGGCUUGGGGGUAUUUCCAAUGACAAGGAGGUGCUUGGAGCUGGAGUUGAACCAGCGACCUUAGGAUCACAGCGUUUCACACAAGGAGCAUCUUACAGUCCACCGCUCUACCAACUGAGCUAUCAAGGUGCUCUCUAGUCACAAGUGCAGAAAACAUAGUGGCUUCAAAGACACACUAUGCCCACAGAACUAUUCCAACCCAUGGUCAAUGAAAAGCCCAGCCCUACCUGCAGAACAAAGCUUUGCAGUUUGUACCCAACAGUCAUUGCCAGGGACCCAGAACUGAUAAUCAGGACUUUUAGGCUGGGUGAAUAAAAAAUUGAUGGUUGAAAAUUUAAGAAAGAGUUAUCUUCUUUGUGUUUUGACAUUUUGGAGGAGUUGACAGAUAAAGACAAGGCUUGGGGGUAUUUCCAAUGACAAGGAGGUGCUUGGAGCUGGAGUUGAACCAGCGACCUUAGGAUCACAGCGUUUCACACAAGGAGCAUCUUACAGUCCACCGCUCUACCAACUGAGCUAUCAAGGUGCUCUCUAGUCACAAGUGCAGAAAACAUAGUGGCUUCAAAGACACACUAUGCCCACAGAACUAUUCCAACCCAUGGUCAAUGAAAAGCCCAGCCCUACCUGCAGAACAAAGCUUUGCAGUUUGUACCCAACAGUCAUUGCCAGGGACCCAGAACUGAUAAUCAGGACUUUUAGGCUGGGUGAAUAAAAAAUUGAUGGUUGAAAAUUUAAGAAAGAGUUAUCUUCUUUGUGUUUUGACAUUUUGGAGGAGUUGACAGAUAAAGACAAGGCUUGGGGGUAUUUCCAAUGACAAGGAGGUGCUUGGAGCUGGAGUUGAACCAGCGACCUUAGGAUCACGGCGUUUCACACAAGGAGCAUCUUACAGUCCACCGCUCUACCAACUGAGCUAUCAAGGUGCUCUCUAGUCACAAGUGCAGAAAACAUAGUGGCUUCGAAGACACACUAUGCCCACAGAACUAUUCCAACCCAUGGUCAAUGAAAAGCCCAGCCCUACCUGCAGAACAAAGCUUUGCAGUUUGUACCCAACAGUCAUUGCCAGGGACCCAGAACUGAUAAUCAGGACUUUUAGGCUGAGUGAAUAAAAAAUUGAUGGUUGAAAAUUUAAGAAAGAGUUAUCUUCUUUGUGUUUUGACAUUUUGGAGGAGUUGACAGAUAAAGACAAGGCUUGGGGGUAUUUCCAAUGACAAGGAGGUGCUUGGAGCUGGAGUUGAAUCAGCGACCUUAGGAUCACAGCGUUUCACACAAGGAGCAUCUUACAGUCCACCGCUCUACCAACUGAGCUAUCAAGGUGCUCUCUAGUCACAAGUGCAGAAAACAUAGUGGCUUCGAAGACACACUAUGCCCACAGAACUAUUCCAACCCAUGGUCAAUGAAAAGCCCAGCCCUACCUGCAGAACAAAGCUUUGCAGUUUGUACCCAACAGUCAUUGCCAGGGACCCAGAACUGAUAAUCAGGACUUUUAGGCUGAGUGAAUAAAAAAUUGAUGGUUGAAAAUUUAAGAAAGAGUUAUCUUCUUUGUGUUUUGACAUUUUGGAGGAGUUGACAGAUAAAGACAAGGCUUGGGGGUAUUUCCAAUGACAAGGAGGUGCUUGGAGCUGGAGUUGAACCAGCGACCUUAGGAUCACAGCGUUUCACACAAGGAGCAUCUUACAGUCCACUGCUCUACCAACUGAGCUAUCAAGGUGCUCUCUAGUCACAAUUGCAGAAAACAUAGUGGCUUCGAAGACACACUAUGCCCACAGAACUAUUCCAACCCAUGGUCAAUGAAAAGCCCAGCCCUACCUGCAGAACAAAGCUUUGCAGUUUGUACCCAACAGUCAUUGCCAGGGACCCAGAACUGAUAAUCAGGACUUUUAGGCUGGGUGAAUAAAAAAUUGAUGGUUGAAAAUUCAAGAAAGAGUUAUAUUCUUUGUGUUUUGACAUUUUGGAGGAGUUGACAGAUAAAGACAAGGCUUGGGGGUAUUUCCAAUGACAAGGAGGUGCUUGGAGCUGGAGUUGAACCAGCGAGCUUAGGAUCACGGAGUUUCACACAAGGAGCAUCUUACAGUCCACCGCUCUACCAACUGAGCAAUCAAGGUGCUCUCUAGUCACAAGUGCAGAAAACAUAGUGGCUUCGAAGACACACUAUGCCCACAGAACUAUUCCAACCCAUGGUCAAUGAAAAGCCCAGCCCUACCUGCAGAACAAAGCUUUGCAGUUUGUACCCAACAGUCAUUGCCAGGGACCCAGAACUGAUAAUCAGGACUUUUAGGCUGGGUGAAUAAAAAAUUGAUGGUUGAAAAUUUAAGAAAGAGUUAUCUUCUUUGUGUUUUGACAUUUUGGAGGAGUUGACACAUAAAGACAAGGUUUGGGGGUAUUUACAAUGACAAGGAGGUGCUUGGAGCUGGAGUUGAAUCAGCGACCUUAGGAUCACAGCGUUUCACACAAGGAGCAUCUUACAGUCCACCGCUCUACCAACUGAGCUAUCAAGGUGCUCUCUAGUCACAAGUGCAGAAAACAUAGUGGCUUCGAAGACACACUAUGCCCACAGAACUAUUCCAACCCAUGGUCAAUGAAAAGCCCAGCCCUACCUGCAGAACACAGCUUUGCAGUUUGUACCCAACAGUCAUUGCCAGGGACCCAGAACUGAUAAUCAGGACUUUUAGGCUGAGUGAAUAAAAAAUUGAUGGUUGAAAAUUUAAGAAAGAGUUAUCUUCUUUGUGUUUUGACAUUUUGGAGGAGUUGACAGAUAAAGACAAGGCUUGGGGGUAUUUCCAAUGACAAGGAGGUGCUUGGAGCUGGAGUUGAACCAGCGAGCUUAGGAUCACGGCGUUUCACACAAGGAGCAUCUUACAGUCCACCGCUCUACCAACUGAGCUAUCAAGGUGCUCUCUAGUCACAAGUGCAGAAAACAUAGUGGCUUCGAAGACACACUAUGCCCACAGAACUAUUCCAACCCAUGGUCAAUGAAAAGCCCAGCCCUACCUGCAGAACAAAGCUUUGCAGUUUGUACCCAACAGUCAUUGCCAGGGACCCAGAACUGAUAAUCAGGACUUUUAGGCUGGGUGAAUAAAAAAUUGAUGGUUGAAAAUUUAAGAAAGAGUUAUCUUCUUUGUGUUUUGACAUUUUGGAGGAGUUGACACAUAAAGACAAGGUUUGGGGGUAUUUACAAUGACAAGGAGGUGCUUGGAGCUGGAGUUGAAUCAGCGACCUUAGGAUCACAGCGUUUCACACAAGGAGCAUCUUACAGUCCACCGCUCUACCAACUGAGCUAUCAAGGUGCGCUCUAGUCACAAGUGCAGAAAACAUAGUGGCUUCGAAGACACACUAUGCCCACAGAACUAUUCCAACCCAUGGUCAAUGAAAAGCCCAGCCCUACCUGCAGAACACAGCUUUGCAGUUUGUACCCAACAGUCAUUGCCAGGGACCCAGAACUGAUAAUCAGGACUUUUAGGCUGGGUGAAUAAAAAAUUGAUGGUUGAAAAUUUAAGAAAGAGUUAUCUUCUUUGUGUUUUGACAUUUUGGAGGAGUUGACACAUAAAGACAAGGCUUGGGGGUAUUUACAAUGACAAGGAGGUGCUUGGAGCUGGAGUUGAACCAGCGAGCUUAGGAUCACGGCGUUUCACACAAGGAGCAUCUUACAGUCCACCGCUCUACCAACUGAGCUAUCAAGGUGCUCUCUAGUCACAAGUGCAGAAAACAUAGUGGCUUCGAAGACACACUAUGCCCACAGAACUAUUCCAACCCAUGGUCAAUGAAAAGCCCAGCCCUACCUGCAGAACAAAGCUUUGCAGUUUGUACCCAACAGUCAUUGCCAGGGACCCAGAACUGAUAAUCAGGACUUUUAGGCUGAGUGAAUAAAAAAUUGAUGGUUGAAAAUUUAAGAAAGAGUUAUCUUCUUUGUGUUUUGACAUUUUGGAGGAGUUGACAGAUAAAGACAAGGCUUGGGGGUAUUUCCAAUGACAAGGAGGUGCUUGGAGCUGGAGUUGAACCAGCGAGCUUAGGAUCACGGCGUUUCACACACGGGGAGCAUCUUACAGUCCACCGCUCUACCAACUGAGCUAUCAAGGUGCUCUCUAGUCACAAGUGCAGAAAACAUAGUGGCUUCGAAGACACACUAUGCCCACAGAACUAUUCCAACCCAUGGUCAAUGAAAAGCCCAGCCCUACCUGCAGAACAAAGCUUUGCAGUUUGUACCCAACAGUCAUUGCCAGGGACCCAGAACUGAUAAUCAGGACUUUUAGGCUGGGUGAAUAAAAAAUUGAUGGUUGAAAAUUUAAGAAAGAGUUAUAUUCUUUGUGUUUUGACAUUUUGGAGGAGUUGACAGAUAAAGACAAGGCUUGGGGGUAUUUCCAAUGACAAGGAGGUGCUUGGAGCUGGAGUUGAACCAGCGACCUUAGGAUCACAGCGUUUCACACAAGGAGCAUCUUACAGUCCACCGCUCUACCAACUGAGCUAUCAAGGUGCUCUCUAGUCACAAGUGCAGAAAACAUAGUGGCUUCGAAGACACACUAUGCCCACAGAACUAUUCCAACCCAUGGUCAAUGAAAAGCCCGGCCCUACCUGCAGAACAAAGCUUUGCAGUUUGUACCCAACAGUCAUUGCCAGGGACCCAGAACUGAUAAUCAGGACUUUUAGGCUGAGUGAAUAAAAAAUUGAUGGUUGAAAAUUUAAGAAAGAGUUAUCUUCUUUGUGUUUUGACAUUUUGGAGGAGUUGACAGAUAAAGACAAGGCUUGGGGGUAUUUCCAAUGACAAGGAGGUGCUUGGAGCUGGAGUUGAACCAGGGACCUUAGGAUCACAGCGUUUCACACAAGGAGCAUCUUACAGUCCACCGCUCUACCAACUGAGCUAUCAAGGUGCUCUCUAGUCACAAUUGCAGAAAACAUAGUGGCUUCGAAGACACACUAUGCCCACAGAACUAUUCCAACCCAUGGUCAAUGAAAAGCCCAGCCCUACCUGCAGAACAAAGCUUUGCAGUUUGUACCCAACAGUCAUUGCCAGGGACCCAGAACUGAUAAUCAGGACUUUUAGGCUGGGUGAAUAAAAAAUUGAUGGUUGAAAAUUCAAGAAAGAGUUAUAUUCUUUGUGUUUUGACAUUUUGGAGGAGUUGACAGAUAAAGACAAGGCUUGGGGGUAUUUCCAAUGACAAGGAGGUGCUUGGAGCUGGAGUUGAAUCAGCGACCUUAGGAUCACAGCGUUUCACACAAGGAGCAUCUUACAGUCCACCGCUCUACCAACUGAGCUAUCAAGGUGCUCUCUAGUCACAAGUGCAGAAAACAUAGUGGCUUCGAAGACACACUAUGCCCACAGAACUAUUCCAACCCAUGGUCAAUGAAAAGCCCAGCCCUACCUGCAGAACAAAGCUUUGCAGUUUGUACCCAACAGUCAUUGCCAGGGACCCAGAACUGAUAAUCAGGACUUUUAGGCUGAGUGAAUAAAAAAUUGAUGGUUGAAAAUUUAAGAAAGAGUUAUCUUCUUUGUGUUUUGACAUUUUGGAGGAGUUGACAGAUAAAGACAAGGGUUGGGGGUAUUUCCAAUGACAAGGAGGUGCUUGGAGCUGGAGUUGAACCAGCGAGCUUAGGAUCACGGCGUUUCACACAAGGAGCAUCUUACAGUCCACCGCUCUACCAACUGAGCUAUCAAGGUGCUCUCUAGUCACAAGUGCAGAAAACAUAGUGGCUUCGAAGACACACUAUGCCCACAGAACUAUUCCAACCCAUGGUCAAUGAAAAGCCCAGCCCUACCUGCAGAACAAAGCUUUGCAGUUUGUACCCAACAGUCAUUGCCAGGGACCCAGAACUGAUAAUCAGGACUUUUAGGCUGGGUGAAUAAAAAAUUGAUGGUUGAAAAUUUAAGAAAGAGUUAUAUUCUUUGUGUUUUGACAUUUUGGAGGAGUUGACAGAUAAAGACAAGGCUUGGGGGUAUUUCCAAUGACAAGGAGGUGCUUGGAGCUGGAGUUGAACCAGCGACCUUAGGAUCACAGCGUUUCACACAAGGAGCAUCUUACAGUCCACCGCUCUACCAACUGAGCUAUCAAGGUGCGCUCUAGUCACAAGUGCAGAAAACAUAGUGGCUUCGAAGACACACUAUGCCCACAGAACUAUUCCAACCCAUGGUCAAUGAAAAGCCCAGCCCUACCUGCAGAACACAGCUUUGCAGUUUGUACCCAACAGUCAUUGCCAGGGACCCAGAACUGAUAAUCAGGACUUUUAGGCUGAGUGAAUAAAAAAUUGAUGGUUGAAAAUUUAAGAAAGAGUUAUCUUCUUUGUGUUUUGACAUUUUGGAGGAGUUGACAGAUAAAGACAAGGCUUGGGGGUAUUUCCAAUGACAAGGACGUGCUUGGAGCUGGAGUUGAACCAGCGACCUUAGGAUCACAGCGUUUCACACAAGGAGCAUCUUACAGUCCACCGCUCUACCAACUGAGCUAUCAAGGUGCUCUCUAGUCACAAUUGCAGAAAACAUAGUGGCUUCGAAGACACACUAUGCCCACAGAACUAUUCCAACCCAUGGUCAAUGAAAAGCCCAGCCCUACCUGCAGAACAAAGCUUUGCAGUUUGUACCCAACAGUCAUUGCCAGGGACCCAGAACUGAUAAUCAGGACUUUUAGGCUGGGUGAAUAAAAAAUUGAUGGUUGAAAAUUUAAGAAAGAGUUUUCUUCUUUGUGUUUUGACAUUUUGGAGGAGUUGACAGAUAAAGACAAGGCUUGGGGGUAUUUCCAAUGACAAGGAGGUGCUUGGAGCUGGAGUUGAACCAGCGACCUUAGGAUCACAGCGUUUCACACAAGGAGCAUCUUACAGUCCACCGCUCUACCAACUGAGCUAUCAAGGUGCGCUCUAGUCACAAGUGCAGAAAACAUAGUGGCUUCGAAGACACACUAUGCCCACAGAACUAUUCCAACCCAUGGUCAAUGAAAAGCCCAGCCCUACCUGCAGAACAAAGCUUUGCAGUUUGUACCCAACAGUCAUUGCCAGGGACCCAGAACUGAUAAUCAGGACUUUUAGGCUGAGUGAAUAAAAAAUUGAUGGUUGAAAAUUUAAGAAAGAGUAAACUUCUUUGUGUUUUGACAUUUUGGAGGAGUUGACAGAUAAAGACAAGGCUUGGGGGUAUUUCCAAUGACAAGGAGGUGCUUGGAGCUGGAGAUGAACCAGCGACCUUAGGAUCACAGCGUUUCACACAAGGAGCAUCUUACAGUCCACCGCUCUACCAACUGAGCUAUCAAGGUGCUCUCUAGUCACAAGUGCAGAAAACAUAGUGGCUUCGAAGACACACUAUGCCCACAGAACUAUUCCAACCCAUGGUCAAUGAAAAGCCCAGCCCUACCUGCAGAACAAAGCUUUGCAGUUUGUACCCAACAGUCAUUGCCAGGGACCCAGAACUGAUAAUCAGGACUUUUAGGCUGAGUGAAUAAAAAAUUGAUGGUUGAAAAUUUAAGAAAGAGAUAUCUUCUUUGUGUUUUGACAUAUUGGAGGAGUUGACAGAUAAAGACAAGGCUUGGGGGUAUUUCCAGUGACAAGGAGGUGCUUGGAGCUGGAGUUGAACCAGCGAGCUUAGGAUCACGGCGUUUCACACAAGGAGCAUCUUACAGUCCACCGCUCUACCAACUGAGCUAUCAAGGUGCUCUCUAGUCACAAGUGCAGAAAACAUAGUGGCUUCGAAGACACACUAUGCCCACAGAACUAUUCCAACCCAUGGUCAAUGAAAAGCCCAGCCCUACCUGCAGAACAAAACUUUGCAGUUUGUACCCAACAGUCAUUGCCAGGGACCCAGAACUGAUAAUCAGGACUUUUAGGCUGAGUGAAUAAAAAAUUGAUGGUUGAAAAUUUAAGAAAGAGUUAUCUUCUUUGUGUUUUGACAUUUUGGAGGAGUUGACAGAUAAAGACAAGGCUUGGGGGUAUUUCCAAUGACAAGGAGGUGCUUGGAGCUGGAGUUGAACCAGCGAGCUUAGGAUCACGGCGUUUCACACAAGGAGCAUCUUACAGUCCACCGCUCUACCAACUGAGCUAUCAAGGUGCUCUCUAGUCACAAGUGCAGAAAACAUAGUGGCUUCGAAGACACACUAUGCCCACAGAACUAUUCCAACCCAUGGUCAAUGAAAAGCCCAGCCCUACCUGCAGAACAAAGCUUUGCAGUUUGUACCCAACAGUCAUUGCCAGGGACCCAGAACUGAUAAUCAGGACUUUUAGGCUGGGUGAAUAAAAAAUUGAUGGUUGAAAAUUUAAGAAAGAGUUUUCUUCUUUGUGUUUUGACAUUUUGGAGGAGUUGACAGAUAAAGACAAGGCUUGGGGGUAUUUCCAAUGACAAGGAGGUGCUUGGUGCUGGAGUUGAACCAGCGACCUUAGGAUCACGGCGUUUCACACAAGGAGCAUCUUACAGUCCACCGCUCUACCAACUGAGCUAUCAAGGUGCUCUCUAGUCACAAGUGCAGAAAACAUAGUGGCUUCGAAGACACACUAUGCCCACAGAACUAUUCCAACCCAUGGUCAAUGAAAAGCCCAGCCCUACCUGCAGAACAAAGCUUUGCAGUUUGUACCCAACAGUCAUUGCCAGGGACCCAGAACUGAUAAUCAGGACUUUUAGGCUGGGUGAAUAAAAAAUUGAUGGUUGAAAAUUUAAGAAAGAGUUAUCUUCUUUGUGUUUUGACAUUUUGGAGGAGUUGACAGAUAAAGACAAGGCUUGGGGGUAUUUCCAAUGACAAGGAGGUGCUUGGAGCUGGAGUUGAACCAGCGACCUUAGGAUCACGGCGUUUCACACAAGGAGCAUCUUACAGUCCACCGCUCUACCAACUGAGCUAUCAAGGUGCUCUCUAGUCACAAGUGCAGAAAACAUAGUGGCUUCGAAGACACACUAUGCCCACAGAACUAUUCCAACCCAUGGUCAAUGAAAAGCCCAGCCCUACCUGCAGAACAAAGCUUUGCAGUUUGUACCCAACAGUCAUUGCCAGGGACCCAGAACUGAUAAUCAGGACUUUUAGGCUGAGUGAAUAAAAAAUUGAUGGUUGAAAAUUUAAGAAAGAGUUAUCUUCUUUGUGUUUUGACAUUUUGGAGGAGUUGACAGAUAAAGACAAGGCUUGGGGGUAUUUCCAAUGACAAGGAGGUGCUUGGAGCUGGAGUUGAACCAGCGACCUUAGGAUCACGGCGUUUCACACAAGGAGCAUCUUACAGUCCACCGCUCUACCAACUGAGCUAUCAAGGUGCUCUCUAGUCACAAGUGCAGAAAACAUAGUGGCUUCGAAGACACACUAUGCCCACAGAACUAUUCCAACCCAUGGUCAAUGAAAAGCCCAGCCCUACCUGCAGAACAAAGCUUUGCAGUUUGUACCCAACAGUCAUUGCCAGGGACCCAGAACUGAUAAUCAGGACUUUUAGGCUGGGUGAAUAAAAAAUUGAUGGUUGAAAAUUUAAGAAAGAGUUAUCUUCUUUGUGUUUUGACAUUUUGGAGGAGUAGACAGAUAAAGACAAGGCUUGGGGGUAUUUCCAAUGACAAGGAGGUGCUUGGAGCUGGAGUUGAACCAGCGACCUUAGGAUCACAGCGUUUCACACAAGGAGCAUCUUACAGUCCACCGCUCUACCAACUGAGCUAUCAAGGUGCUCUCUUGUCACGAGUGCAGAAAACAUAGUGGCUUCGAAGACACACUAUGCCCACAGAACUAUUCCAACCCAUGGUCAAUGAAAAGCCCAGCCCUACCUGCAGAACAAAGCUUUGCAGUUUGUACCCAACAGUCAUUGCCAGGGACCCAGAACUGAUAAUCAGGACUUUUAGGCUGGGUGAAUAAAAAAUUGAUGGUUGAAAAUUUAAGAAAGAGUUAUCUUCUUUGUGUUUUGACAUUUUGGAGGAGUUGACAGAUAAAGACAAGGCUUGGGGGUAUUUCCAAUGACAAGGAGGUGCUUGGAGCUGGAGUUGAACCAGCGACCUUAGGAUCACGGCAUUUCACACAAGGAGCAUCUUACAGUGCACCGCUCUACCAACUGAGCUAUCAAGGUGCUCUCUAGUCACAAGUGCAGAAAACAUAGUGGCUUCGAAGACACACUAUGCCCACAGAACUAUUCCAACCCAUGGUCAAUGAAAAGCCCAGCCCUACCUGCAGAACAAAGCUUUGCAGUUUGUACCCAACAGUCAUUGCCAGGGACCCAGAACUGAUAAUCAGGACUUUUAGGCUGGGUGAAUAAAAAAAUGAUGGUUGAAAAUUUAAGAAAGAGUUAUCUUCUUUGUGUUUUGACAUUUUGGAGGAGUUGACAGAUAAAGACAAGGCUUGGAGGUAUUUCGAAUGACAAGGAGGUGCUUGGAGCUGGAGUUGAACCAGCAACCUUAGGAUCACGGCGUUUCACACAAGGAGCAUAUUACAGUCCACCGCGCUACCAACUGAGCUAUCAAGGUGAUCUCUAGUCACAAGUGCAGAAAACAGAGUGGCUUCGAAGACACACUAUGCCCACAGAACUAUUCCAACCCAUGGUCAAUGAAAAGCCCAGCCCUACCUGCAGAACAAAGCUUUGCAGUUUGUACCCAACAGUCAUUGCCAGGGACCCAGAACUGAUAAUCAGGACUUUUAGGCUGGGUGAAUAAAAAAAUGAUGGUUGAAAAUUUAAGAAAGAGUUAUCUUCUUUGUGUUUUGACAUUUUGGAGGAGUUGACAGAUAAAGACAAGGCUUGGAGGUAUUUCCAAUGACAAGGAGGUGCUUGGAGCUGGAGUUGAACCAGCGACCUUAGGAUCACGGCGUUUCACACAAGGAGCAUCUUACAGUCCACCGCGCUACCAACUGAGCUAUCAAGGUGAUCUCUAGUCACAAGUGCAGAAAACAGAGUGGCUUCGAAGACACACUAUGCCCACAGAACUAUUCCAACCCAUGGUCAAUGAAAAGCCCAGCCCUACCUGCAGAACAAAGCUUUGCAGUUUGUACCCAACAGUCAUUGCCAGGGACCCAGAACUGAUAAUCAGGACUUUUAGGCUGGGUGAAUAAAAAAAUGAUGGUUGAAAAUUUAAGAAAGAGUUAUCUUCUUUGUGUUUUGACAUUUUGGAGGAGUUGACAGAUAAAGACAAGGCUUGGAGGUAUUUCCAAUGACAAGGAGGUGCUUGGAGCUGGAGUUGAACCAGCGACCUUAGGAUCACGGCGUUUCACACAAGGAGCAUCUUACAGUCCACCGCGCUACCAACUGAGCUAUCAAGGUGAUCUCUAGUCACAAGUGCAGAAAACAGAGUGGCUUCGAAGACACACUAUGCCCACAGAACUAUUCCAAUCCAUGGUCAAUGAAAAGCCCAGCCCUACCUGCAGAACAAAGCUUUGCAGUUUGUACCCAACAGUCAUUGCCAGGGACCCAGAACUGAUAAUCAGGACUUUUAGGCUGGGUGAAUAAAAAAAUGAUGGUUGAAAAUUUAAGAAAGAGUUAUAUUCUUUGUGUUUUGACAUUUUGGAGGAGUUGACAGAUAAAGACAAGGCUUGGGGUUAUUUCCAAUGACAAGGAGGUGCUUGGAGCUGGAGUUGAACCAGCGACCUUAGGAUCACAGCGUUUCACACAAGGAGCAUCUUACAGUCCACCGCUCUACCAACUGAGCUAUCAAGGUGCUCUCUAGUCACAAGUGCAGAAAACAGAGUGGCUUCGAAGACACACUAUGCCCACAGAACUAUUCCAACCCAUGGUCAAUGAAAAGCCCAGCCCUACCUGCAGAACAAAGCUUUGCAGUUUGUACCCAACAGUCAUUGCCAGGGACCCAGAACUGAUAAUCAGGACUUUUAGGCUGGGUGAAUAAAAAAUUGAUGGUUGAAAAUUUAAGAAAGAGUUAUCUUCUUUGUGUUUUGACAUUUUGGAGGAGUUGACAGAUAAAGACAAGGCUUGGGGGUAUUUUCAAUGACAAGGAGGUGCUUGGAGCUGGAGUUGAACCAGCGACCUUAGGAUCACAGCGUUUCACACAAGGAGCAUCUUACAGUCCACCGCUCUACCAACUGAGCUAUCAAGGUGCUCUCUAGUCACAAGUGCAGAAAACAUAGUGGCUUCGAAGACACACUAUGCCCACAGAACUAUUCCAACCCAUGGUCAAUGAAAAGCCCAGCCCUACCUGCAGAACAAAGCUUUGCAGUUUGUACCCAACAGUCAUUGCCAGGGACCCAGAACUGAUAAUCAGGACUUUUAGGCUGAGUGAAUAAAAAAUUGAUGGUUGAAAAUUUAAGAAAGAGAUAUCUUCUUUGUGUUUUGACAUAUUGGAGGAGUUGACAGAUAAAGACAAGGCUUGGGGGUAUUUCCAGUGACAAGGAGGUGCUUGGAGCUGGAGUUGAACCAGCGAGCUUAGGAUCACGGCGUUUCACACAAGGAGCAUCUUACAGUCCACCGCUCUACCAACUGAGCUAUCAAGGUGCUCUCUAGUCACAAGUGCAGAAAACAUAGUGGCUUCGAAGACACACUAUGCCCACAGAACUAUUCCAACCCAUGGUCAAUGAAAAGCCCAGCCCUACCUGCAGAACAAAACUUUGCAGUUUGUACCCAACAGUCAUUGCCAGGGACCCAGAACUGAUAAUCAGGACUUUUAGGCUGAGUGAAUAAAAAAUUGAUGGUUGAAAAUUUAAGAAAGAGUUAUCUUCUUUGUGUUUUGACAUUUUGGAGGAGUUGACAGAUAAAGACAAGGCUUGGGGGUAUUUCCAAUGACAAGGAGGUGCUUGGAGCUGGAGUUGAACCAGCGAGCUUAGGAUCACGGCGUUUCACACAAGGAGCAUCUUACAGUCCACCGCUCUACCAACUGAGCUAUCAAGGUGAUCUCUAGUCACAAGUGCAGAAAACAGAGUGGCUUCGAAGACACACUAUGCCCACAGAACUAUUCCAACCCAUGGUCAAUGAAAAGCCCAGCCCUACCUGCAGAACAAAGCUUUGCAGUUUGUACCCAACAGUCAUUGCCAGGGACCCAGAACUGAUAAUCAGGACUUUUAGGCUGGGUGAAUAAAAAAUUGAUGGUUGAAAAUUUAAGAAAGAGUUUUCUUCUUUGUGUUUUGACAUUUUGGAGGAGUUGACAGAUAAAGACAAGGCUUGGGGGUAUUUCCAAUGACAAGGAGGUGCUUGGUGCUGGAGUUGAACCAGCGACCUUAGGAUCACGGCGUUUCACACAAGGAGCAUCUUACAGUCCACCGCUCUACCAACUGAGCUAUCAAGGUGCUCUCUAGUCACAAGUGCAGAAAACAUAGUGGCUUCGAAGACACACUAUGCCCACAGAACUAUUCCAACCCAUGGUCAAUGAAAAGCCCAGCCCUACCUGCAGAACAAAGCUUUGCAGUUUGUACCCAACAGUCAUUGCCAGGGACCCAGAACUGAUAAUCAGGACUUUUAGGCUGGGUGAAUAAAAAAUUGAUGGUUGAAAAUUUAAGAAAGAGUUAUCUUCUUUGUGUUUUGACAUUUUGGAGGAGUUGACAGAUAAAGACAAGGCUUGGGGGUAUUUCCAAUGACAAGGAGGUGCUUGGAGCUGGAGUUGAACCAGCGACCUUAGGAUCACGGCGUUUCACACAAGGAGCAUCUUACAGUCCACCGCUCUACCAACUGAGCUAUCAAGGUGCUCUCUAGUCACAAGUGCAGAAAACAUAGUGGCUUCGAAGACACACUAUGCCCACAGAACUAUUCCAACCCAUGGUCAAUGAAAAGCCCAGCCCUACCUGCAGAACAAAGCUUUGCAGUUUGUACCCAACAGUCAUUGCCAGGGACCCAGAACUGAUAAUCAGGACUUUUAGGCUGAGUGAAUAAAAAAUUGAUGGUUGAAAAUUUAAGAAAGAGUUAUCUUCUUUGUGUUUUGACAUUUUGGAGGAGUUGACAGAUAAAGACAAGGCUUGGGGUUAUUUCCAAUGACAAGGAGGUGCUUGGAGCUGGAGUUGAACCAGCAACCUUAGGAUCACAGCGUUUCACACAAGGAGCAUCUUACAGUCCACCGCUCUACCAACUGAGCUAUCAAGGUGCUCUCUAGUCACAAGUGCAGAGAACAGAGUGGCUUCGAAGACACACUAUGCCCACAGAACUAUUCCAACCCAUGGUCAAUGAAAAGCCCAGCCCUACCUGCAGAACAAAGCUUUGCAGUUUGUACCCAACAGUCAUUGCCAGGGACCCAGAACUGAUAAUCAGGACUUUUAGGCUGGGUGAAUAAAAAAUUGAUGGUUGAAAAUUUAAGAAAGAGUUAUCUUCUUUGUGUUUUGACAUUUUGGAGGAGUUGACAGAUAAAGACAAGGCUUGGGGUUAUUUCCAAUGACAAGGAGGUGCUUGGAGCUGGAGUUGAACCAGCGACCUUAGGAUCACAGCGUUUCACACAAGGAGCAUCUUACAGUCCACCGCUCUACCAACUGAGCUAUCAAGGUGCUCUUUUGUCACAAGUGCAGAAAACAUAGUGGCUUCGAAGACACACUAUGCCCACAGAACUAUUCCAACCCAUGGUCAAUGAAAAGCCCAGCCCUACCUGCAGAACAAAGCUUUGCAGUUUGUACCCAACAGUCAUUGCCAGGGACCCAGAACUGAUAAUCAGGACUUUUAGGCUGAGUGAAUAAAAAAUUGAUGGUUGAAAAUUUAAGAAAGAGAUAUCUUCUUUGUGUUCUGACAUAUUGGAGGAGUUGACAGAUAAAGACAAGGCUUGGGGGUAUUUCCAGUGACAAGGAGGUGCUUGGAGCUGGAGUUGAACCAGCGAGCUUAGGAUCACGGCGUUUCACACAAGGAGCAUCUUACAGUCCACCGCUCUACCAACUGAGCUAUCAAGGUGCUCUCUAGUCACAAGUGCAGAAAACAUAGUGGCUUCGAAGACACACUAUGCCCACAGAACUAUUCCAACCCAUGGUCAAUGAAAAGCCCAGCCCUACCUGCAGAACAAAACUUUGCAGUUUGUACCCAACAGUCAUUGCCAGGGACCCAGAACUGAUAAUCAGGACUUUUAGGCUGAGUGAAUAAAAAAUUGAUGGUUGAAAAUUUAGGAAAGAGUUAUCUUCUUUGUGUUUUGACAUUUUGGAGGAGUUGACAGAUAAAGACAAGGCUUGGGGGUAUUUCCAAUGACAAGGAGGUGCUUGGAGCUGGAGUUGAACCAGCGAGCUUAGGAUCACGGCGUUUCACACAAGGAGCAUCUUACAGUCCACCGCUCUACCAACUGAGCUAUCAAGGUGAUCUCUAGUCACAAGUGCAGAAAACAGAGUGGCUUCGAAGACACACUAUGCCCACAGAACUAUUCCAACCCAUGGUCAAUGAAAAGCCCAGCCCUACCUGCAGAAC